UACGGAGGAUCCAAGCGUUAUCCGGAUUUAUUGGGUUUAAAGGGUGCGUAGGCGGCCUAUUAAGUCAGGGGUGAAAGACGGUAGCUUAACUAUCGCAGUGCCUUUGAUACUGAUAGGCUUGAAUGUACUUGAGGUAGGCGGAAUGUGACAAGUAGCGGUGAAAUGCAUAGAUAUGUCACAGAACGCCAAUUGCGAAGGCAGCUUACUAAAGUAUGAUUGACGCUGAGGCACGAAAGCGUGGGGAUCAAACAGG
This 253-nucleotide ribosomal RNA is filed under the name uncultured bacterium. RNAcentral's name for it is "partial 16S ribosomal RNA". It matches the Rfam family "Bacterial small subunit ribosomal RNA", at positions 524 to 776 of the family's 1533-position model. The record is from RNAcentral.